GCCCUCGUAAGCUAAUGGAUAAACUGCCGGGUUUCUACCCCGGAUUUGGGGGUUCGAAUCCCUCCGGGGGCACCA
Molecule: transfer RNA, 75 nt
Filed under: bacterium
Lineage: Bacteria
Description: tRNA-Arg
Rfam family: tRNA
About the family: Transfer RNA (tRNA) molecules are approximately 80 nucleotides in length. Their secondary structure includes four short double-helical elements and three loops (D, anti-codon, and T loops). Further hydrogen bonds mediate the characteristic L-shaped molecular structure. tRNAs have two regions of fundamental functional importance: the anti-codon, which is responsible for specific mRNA codon recognition, and the 3' end, to which the tRNAs corresponding amino acid is attached (by aminoacyl-tRNA synthetases). tRNAs cope with the degeneracy of the genetic code in two manners: having more than one tRNA (with a specific anti-codon) for a particular amino acid; and 'wobble' base-pairing, i.e. permitting non-standard base-pairing at the 3rd anti-codon position.
Source: RNAcentral